Molecule: ribosomal RNA, 2724 nt
Filed under: Triticum aestivum (bread wheat)
Lineage: Eukaryota; Viridiplantae; Streptophyta; Magnoliopsida; Poales; Poaceae
Description: partial small subunit ribosomal RNA
Source: RNAcentral
AUGGCUGAGAAUGUCAAUACAAGAUCUGCAGAUGAUGAUGCAAUGAGAGAACAAGACAUAUACGCUAGUUUCCUCGAGGAAGCAAACACAGAUUUAUACCCUGGAUGUGCAACAUAUUCGAGGUUGUCAUUUCUUGUCACUUUAUAUCACAUGAAAGUCUUGCAUGGAUGGUCACAGGAAUCAUUCACACAGCUACUUGGUGUAUUAUCGGUUGCAUUUCCUCAGAUAAACCUACCCAAGAAAUAUUAUGAGGUGAAAAAAAUCAUACGCGGAUUAGGGCUGGACUAUGAGAAAAUUCAUGCAUGCCCAAGAGACUGCAUGCUUUUUAGAGGCGAAAGAGCUAACCAGGAGUCUUGCCAUGUGUGUGGUGCCUCUCGUUGGGUUACCAAUGAAAAUGAGAAGAAAGAUUCCGCAACUGAAUCUAAAAAGAAGAAGAAGAAGAAACCAGCCAAGGUGUUGCGAUAUUUCCCAUUGAUUUCAAGGCUCCAAAGGUUAUUUGCAACCAAGAAGACAUCAACUGACAUGCAUUGGCAUGAUGAGGGUCGUACAAAAGAUGGAUUGCUGCGAUGUCCAGCUGAUGGAGAGGCUUGGAAAGAUUUUGAUGCCAGAUAUCCUAAAUUCGCUGAGGAUUCCCGUAAUGCGCGGCUAGGCGUUGGGUCUGAUGGGUUUAAUCCUUUCCGACUCAUGAGUGCAGAACAUAGUACUUGGCCAGUGAUGCUUAUUCCAUACAACCUACCACCUUGGAUCUGCAUGAAGCAAACAUCUCUAAUUUUAUCAAUGAUUAUUCCUGGACCAAGUUCCCCUGGCAAUGACAUUGAUGUAUAUUUGCAGCCGUUGGUGGAUGAGCUGCAACAACUUUGGAAGGGUGUGGACACUUUUGACUCAUGUACUCAGGAGAAAUUUUCUCUUCGAGCUGCACUAUUAUGGACUUUGAACGAUUUUCCAGCAUUAGCUUACCUCUAUGGGUGGAGCACGAGCGGUAAAUAUGCUUGCCCGUCUUGUGGUCCUUUCACAAGAUCAUAUUGGCUAAAGAAGAGUAAGAAAUUUUGUUAUAUGGGUCAUCGCCGAUGGCUACCACAGAAUCAUGUAUUUCGGAGACGAAAGAAGGAGUUUGAUAACACCGAAGAGAUGGAACUUGCACCUAUAACAAUGAGUGGUAGCUCAGCUUUGAGAAUGUUGCAGGGCAGAGUGUUUGUCUUAGGAAAAAAGGUUAUUGUGGCAAAGAAAGGGAAAGGGAAAAAGAAGGGCAAAGACAGUGAAAAAGGAACUGAAGGUCCUGAAAAACAGAAGCGUAAAAGAGCGCCUAACAAGAAAUCAGGUAACGUCGCACGUAAACCUGAAAAGAAGCCUGAGGAUUGUUUCAAAAAGAAGUCGAUAUUCUUUGAUUUGGAAUACUGGGAGCACAACAAGUUAAGGCACAAUCUAGAUGUAAUGCAUAUUGAGAAAAAUGUCUUCGAAAAUUUAAUUGGAACCGUACUGGAUAUUGAUUCUAAAACAAAGGAUGGCCUUGAUGCACGACUUGACUUAGGAGAAAUUGGAAUUCGAUCUAGCCUUCAACCUCAUGAAGGUGAUAAGGGUAAAACUGAAUUGCCGCAUGCACCUUUUAAUAUGUAUAAAGAAAAGAAGGAGAUUCUUUGUACAGUGGUUAAGAAUUGUAGGACACCUGAUGGUUGUGCAUCAAACUUUUCGAGGUGUGUGAACAUGAAAGAAUUGACAUUGACUGGCCUCAAAAGCCACGACUGCCAUGUUAUUCUACAAGACAUCCUUCCUGUGGCACUUUUACACUGUUAUCCCAGUAAAGAUGUCAUGAUAAUAGUUGUUGAGGUGGCUAAUUUCUUCAAGAAGCUAUGCUCCAAAGUGUUAGAUGUUUUUGAGCUUGACAAACUGCAAGAGAGUAUUGUGAAGACACUUUGUAAUAUGGAAAAGGUUUUUCUUCCAUCGUUUUUUACUGUCAUGGUACAUUUAAUGGUGCAUUUAGUUGAAGAAGCUAAACUUGGUGGCCCGGUGCAUUACAGGUGGAUGUACCCUCUUGAGAGAUCAUUUGUUUGGCUAAAGUCACUUGUGCGCAAUAGAGCUUAUCCUGAAGGUUCUAUUGCUGAAGGAUAUACUGUUGAAGAAUGCUUGACCUUUUGUUCAAGAUUUCUAGAAGGAACCACACGUUUCACAAGAACAUCUAGGAACCCUGAUCCUUCAGAUAAUACAAAGGGCAUAUACAUGUUUGAUAGUGUUGGUGAGCCAAUUGGAAAGGCUGUCACUAUAGGCCAGUUGGACGAUCAGCUUCUAGUUCAAGCACAUCGAUAUGUCUUGCGACACUCUGAUGAGCUUGAUGAUCUCCGUAGAGAAUUUCUGGACCAAGAGAGGAGGAAACCGGGUAACUUAAAUUUGACGGAUGAUGACAAGGAGGAUUUGAUUGGUAGACACUUUGCUGACUGGUUGGAACAAAAGGUUAUACUAGAUGAUGGACCGGAUAUCACAGAAAAGAUAAGGGCAUUAGCCGCAAAACCAAGCAAAUGCGGGGUGCGCUAUAGUGGCUAUAUAAUUAAUGGUUUCAGGUUUCAUACUAUCAGUCACGAGACAGGACACGUGACACAAAAUAGUGGUGUCGUGAACCUUGCUGAAAAUGGCGUGUCCUAUUAUGGUCGGUUAUCUGACAUCUUCGAAUUGUCAUACAAAGAUUACAAGGUGGUCUUCUUUAAAUGUGAUUGGGGAGAAGUUAGAGGAUGA